RNAcentral lists this ribosomal RNA (492 nucleotides) under uncultured bacterium. RNAcentral's name for it is "partial 16S ribosomal RNA". It matches the Rfam family "Bacterial small subunit ribosomal RNA", at positions 29 to 507 of the family's 1533-position model. The record is from RNAcentral.
AGUGAACGCUGGCGGUAGGCCUAACACAUGCCAGUCGAACGGCAGCACAGUAAGAGCUUGCUCUUACGGUUGGCGAGUGGCGGACGGGUGAGGAAUACAUCGGAAUCUACUUUUUCGUGGGGGAUAACGUAGGGAAACUUACGCUAAUACCGCAUACGACCUACGGGUGAAAGCAGGGGAUCUUCGGACCUUGCGCGAUUGAAUGAGCCGAUGUCGGAUUAGCUAGUUGGCGGGGUAAAGGCCCACCAAGGCGACGAUCCGUAGCUGGUCUGAGAGGAUGAUCAGCCACACUGGAACUGAGACACGGUCCAGACUCCUACGGGAGGCAGCAGUGGGGAAUAUUGGACAAUGGGCGCAAGCCUGAUCCAGCCAUACCGCGUGGGUGAAGAAGGCCUUCGGGUUGUAAAGCCCUUUUGUUGGGAAAGAAAAGCAGCAGGUUAAUACCCCGCUGUUCUGACGGUACCCAAAGAAUAAGCACCGGCUAACUUCGUG